GGAUUAUAGCUCAGUGGAAGAGCACUUGCCUAGCAUGUGUGUGGUACUGGGUUCAAUUCUCAGUACCA
RNAcentral lists this transfer RNA (68 nucleotides) under Marmota monax (woodchuck). RNAcentral's name for it is "tRNA.Ala". The stretch from base 5 to 65 matches the Rfam family "tRNA", at positions 6 to 65 of the family's 71-position model. Rfam says of the family: Transfer RNA (tRNA) molecules are approximately 80 nucleotides in length. Their secondary structure includes four short double-helical elements and three loops (D, anti-codon, and T loops). The record is from RNAcentral. Lineage: Eukaryota; Metazoa; Chordata; Mammalia; Rodentia; Sciuridae.